This 500-nucleotide ribosomal RNA is filed under the name uncultured bacterium. RNAcentral describes it as "partial 16S ribosomal RNA". It matches the Rfam family "Bacterial small subunit ribosomal RNA", at positions 30 to 523 of the family's 1533-position model. The record is from RNAcentral.
AUUGAACGCUGGCGGCAGGCCUAACACAUGCAAGUCGAGCGGAUGAAGGGAGCUUGCUCUCUGAUUCAGCGGCGGACGGGUGAGUAAUGCCUAGGAAUCUGCCCGGUAAUGGGGGAUAACGUUCCGAAAGGAACGCUAAUACCGCAUACGUCCUACGAGAGAAAGCGGGGGAUCUUCGGACCUCGCGUUAUCGGAUGAGCCUAGGUCGGAUUAGCUAGUUGGUGGGGUAAAGGCCUACCAAGGCGACGAUCCGUAACUGGUCUGAGAGGAUGAUCAGUCACACUGGAACUGAGACACGGUCCAGACUCCUACGGGAGGCAGCAGUGGGGAAUAUUGGACAAUGGGCGAAAGCCUGAUCCAGCCAUGCCGCGUGUGUGAAGAAGGUCUUCGGAUUGUAAAGCACUUUAAGUUGGGAGGAAGGGCAGUAAGUUAAUACCUUGCUGUUUUGACGUUACCAACAGAAUAAGCACCGGCUAACUUCGUGCCAGCAGCCGCCGUAA